GGAGGGGACUAGCGUUGUUCGGAAUUACUGGGCGUAAAGCGCGCGUAGGCGGAUUUGCAAGUCGGGGGUGAAAGCCCGAGGCUCAACCUCGGAACUGCCUUCGAUACUGCAAAUCUCGAGUCCGAGAGAGGUGAGUGGAAUUCCUAGUGUAGAGGUGAAAUUCGUAGAUAUUAGGAAGAACACCAGUGGCGAAGGCGGCUCACUGGCUCGGUACUGACGCUGAGGCGCGAAAGCGUGGGGAGCAAACAGGAUUAGAUACCCUGGUAGUCCACGCCGUAAACUAUGGGUGCUAGCCGUCGGUCGGCAUGCCGGUCGGUGGCGCAGCCAACGCAUUAAGCACCCCGCCUGGGGAGUACGGUCGCAAGAUUAAA
Molecule: ribosomal RNA, 371 nt
Filed under: uncultured bacterium
Lineage: Bacteria
Description: bacterial SSU rRNA
Rfam family: Bacterial small subunit ribosomal RNA
Source: RNAcentral